RNAcentral lists this ribosomal RNA (205 nucleotides) under uncultured bacterium. Its description in RNAcentral is "partial 16S ribosomal RNA". It matches the Rfam family "Bacterial small subunit ribosomal RNA", at positions 524 to 726 of the family's 1533-position model. The record is from RNAcentral.
UACGGAGGGUGCAAGCGUUAUCCGGAUUCACUGGGUUUAAAGGGUGCGUAGGAGGGCAGGGAAGUCCGUGGUGAAAUCCUAGAGCUUAACUCUAGAACUGCCGUGGAUACUCUCUGUCUUGAAUCCCGUGGAGAUGAGCGGAAUAUGUCAUGUAGCGGUGAAAAUGCUUAGAUAUGACAUAGAACACCAAAUUGCGAAGGCAGCU